Molecule: ribosomal RNA, 383 nt
Filed under: uncultured bacterium
Lineage: Bacteria
Description: bacterial SSU rRNA
Rfam family: Bacterial small subunit ribosomal RNA
Source: RNAcentral
AAUGAACGCUGGCGGCGUGCUUUACACAUGCAAGUUGAGCGAGGCCACCCGCAAGGGUGAGUCGAGCGGCGAACGGGUGAGUAACGCGUGGAUAACCUGCCCUGAGGUGGGGAAUAACCCGGGGGAAACUCGGGCUAAUACCGCAUGAUACCAAGCGGUCAAAGGGGGCUCGCAAGAGCUCCUGCCACAGGAGGGGUCCGCGUUCGAUUAGCUAGUUGGUAGGGUAAUGGCCUACCAAGGCGACGAUCGAUAGCCGGCCUGAGAGGGUGAUCGGCCACACUGGAACUGAGACACGGUCCAGACUCCUACGGGAGGCAGCAGUGGGGAAUUUUGCGCAGUGGGCUAACGCCUGACGCAGCAACGCCGCGUGGAGGAUGAAGGUC